CGUUAACUCUGGCGGUAGGCCUAACACAUGCAAGUCAAACGGCAGCACAGUAAGAGCUUGCUCUUACGGGUGGCGAGUGGCGGACGGGUGAGGAAUACAUCGGAAUCUACUUUUUCGUGGGGGAUAACGUAGGGAAACUUACGCUAAUACCGCAUACGACCUACGGGUGAAAGCAGGGGAUCUUCGGACCUUGCGCGAUUGAAUGAGCCGAUGUCGGAUUAGCUAGUUGGCGGGGUAAAGGCCCACCAAGGCGACGAUCCGUAGCUGGUCUGAGAGGAUGAUCAGCCACACUGGAACUGAGACACGGUCCAGACUCCUACGGGAGGCAGCAGUGGGGAAUAUUGGACAAUGGGCGCAAGCCUGAUCCAGCCAUACCGCGUGGGUGAAGAAGGCCUUCGGGUUGUAAAGCCCUUUUGUUGGGAAAGAAAAGCAGCAGGUUAAUACCCCGCUGUUCUGACGGUACCCAAAGAAUAAGCACCGGCUAACUUCGUG
This 492-nucleotide ribosomal RNA is filed under the name uncultured bacterium. Its description in RNAcentral is "partial 16S ribosomal RNA". It matches the Rfam family "Bacterial small subunit ribosomal RNA", at positions 29 to 507 of the family's 1533-position model. The record is from RNAcentral.